GUUUUUGAAGCGAGGUGUAUACUUAAAGUGGAUAGAGGUUUUGUGAUGAUUGUGUUGGUUCAGAUGAGUUCUAGGUUCAUCGUACUAGUACUAAGAAUCAUAGGCUAAAGCAUCAGCCGGAGCAGUUACAGUUUCAAGUCCGAAUGGAACUUCCCGCUUCAUUUCCUGUAAUUUCUUAUGAUUCUCCACUUGCAGACAAUGGCACAAGAAGAACUUCAAGUCAUUAUUCUGCUUCUUCUAUUUAUAUAGGAGAAAGGUAGACAACAAACACGGAUGAAAACUAUCCCUGCCCGCCUCUUCUCCUCAUACUUAUUCUAUACUCAACGUUGCUUCUUUAAAAACCACUUUGAUUCUAUUGUGCUAACGUGAGUUCUAUACUUGAGACCUAAGUUAUUGAAUUGAAUGGAGUGCACCUGGGAAGAGCGCUACCAUUUCAUAUUCUCGUUUUUCUCCAAAUAGCAUUCAGAAAGCCUAUGGAGUACCGUACAAAAUGCAACAAUUCCUUUUUUGUGGUUUGUGUAGCGCGGCGAGUUAUGAGCAAGUAAAGCCAGGAAGUCAGAUAGAUGAAUAGCUCCAUUGGUACACUCCCGUUCCAUGCCUACAGCAAUAAACAACAGGACAACUCUCCUUGGGACGAGAUAUGAAGUAGCCCGAGCUCUGCUUACCGAUUAAUAAAUCGAAUGGGCUUUCCCCUUUUCUUCUUUUGCAUUUCUAUAUUCUAUAUGGAAAGUUCUACGAUACGCUCUUUUCUCAUUUCAUUAACAAGUUUCACUACGGGGUUGACAGAAUAUAGCUUAACUACUAAUCGAAAGCUACGGGUACCCAAAAUCCAACAAGUGGAGGGGAAUGGGAUUAUACCACCAUACACUUAAUGAGUUUCCACAGCGUACAGAAAGAAAGGCUUGCUUCGGUUGAGGACUUUUUCGAAAGGCAUUGAACUGCAGGAAUGGCUAGACUGAUUCGAAUGCUUACGGAAUGGACCCCGAGAAGGAAUAGAAUAAUAAGAUACACACCCAAUAGACUAGAAGCAAAGCGAAUGAAAACAACAUAAGCAAAGGCUCUUCGUAAGAACGGAAAAACUCGUUAUUUAACGCCUCCACUGAUUCACCAAUCGCUUCUUUCAAGGCUUCUUAAACCAGGACCGCAUCGAAAAGCGGAUACCCUUGACUUUGUUGAGUAAAGCCAAUAUUUCUCGCCUACUUGCCUCGGCUCACUGAACUGGGUGACUCAACUUUCUUUCGAGAAGACAGUCAAAGCAGAAGACUCACUUUAGGGUGUUGUGAUCCUAGUAGAAGGAGCAGGGGCACUGAGAAAAGAUGCAAUUGAUCCUGCUCCCCCGCUAACUAAGCUCUAGGCAAGCAAGCCUCCGCUCGGAUUACCUGAGUAAGUGUGAGACUCCACCGAUUGAGAGUGACUUCCAGCCGGAGAUUGAAAUGACUUCCUUCCAACAUGUUAAGGGACUCCAGACUUGUAAAAGCGCGUAAAAGCAGCACAGUACCAGCAUCAAAACCUUCCUUCUAAAUAAACUCAUGGGGAGGACAGGACUCCGAAUCCGAUCAAAGGGAAUUGACCGCCCCUAAGAAGAAGGUAAGAAUAUAUCCUGGCUAACUAACAUAUGCCUUGGUGGAAACUGAAACGACUAUGUCAGGACCCUGGGUGAGUAGAUCGCAAAUUGGCCUAAGAGGAAUGACUAGCUAUCAAGCUAUAAGUGCAAAUCCCAGUUCUUACCAUCAUCGAAUGAGCGGUGGAAUAGAAGAAUUGUGAGCUCCUCUGGGAUAUAAGGAAGAGCAGGUCUUUUACUGGUCUUUAAGCUCAUAGGCUUUGAUAGGUAUGAAGUCUUUCUACUGCUAUAAGAGGAGGUGAAGCGGAAUAAACAUGAACUCAUCUUUCUGCCCUUUCUACUGAAUAAACAUGAACUCAUCUUUCUGCCCUUUCUACUGCCUUUCCCGGAUCUAAUGGUAAAGCAUACUAUCUCUUUAGCAGACGAGUAACACCUAUUAAGACAUCCUCCAAACCUUUUCAAGACGGUAAGCCUCCGAGCAACAAGGCGGAAUUGGAUUCUGGAAUUCUACUUCAAUAAAAGAUGAUAUGAUUGAUAUAUGAAAUUAGACAUUAGACAUUAGACCAUCCUUUCCUAAAUAUUGAAAAAAAAGAUAUGUUUCAUUAAAGGAAGGAAUUGUUAUAACAAGAGGAAGCGGCUCUGCCGCGCAACAUUAGUAGUUGCUUGGCGGUUGCUGCCGCCUUCCCGCUCGCUACCGUUUCACUCAACUCCCGAAAGCAUCUAUUGUAAUAACUCGUAAUAUCUAUUACUAUUGCUACCGCCGAGAGCAUCUACGAGGACAGGACUUGUUAAUAACUGGCUAUAACAUAUCUAUGUUGUUGCUGCCGCGCAGCGGCUUGCUUAGUUGCUUGGCCCUUGGCCCGAGUGGCUUGGUCAUUAGUAGUUGCUUGGCGAAUAGCAAAUAUAGACUUUCUUUACUUAUAGCUUAGCUUCCUCUCCUCAAGCGUAUACUACAGACCAAGCUUAGUAGUUUGAAACAGAAGAAUUAGCUAUAUACAGCCAAGUCAGUAUAAGCCCUAAAGCAAGGUAAGCAGUUAGAGCAGAGCCUUUACUAUAAGCUGUAGAACCCAUCCCCUUGAAACUCCCCUUUCCGACCUCAACUCGUCUUUCUUUCUUAUGAGACCCCUAAGGCUCCGCAGUCCUCUUCUCUUUCUCCUCUCCUACUUGCUCCUCUCUGCUAACUUAAUUCGGGAUACCUCGCUUCAAAGCCUCUCUUCUGGCUACAACUACUGUUAUUGCUCUAGUCUACUCCGGACUACUCGUAUACAUGUGUGGGAUGGGAUUCUACACCUAAUGAAGGGGAUGAAACUCUACAACAACGGGCUAGGCUCUGUCAACUAAUUCUUCUUUCUGACCCCGACCAGCUCUAUUCUGCCACUCCAUAGCAUCAGUCUCAGUGGCCCCAGUAUCAGUCUCGGUGGUACUGCUUUGACUCUGAGUCUACUUAGUUUGAUUCUUGCACAGAGGAAACUCAAUUAUGAACCAACUACUUGAGAGAAAGAGGCGCGGGUUAGUUACCCACCUACCCAUUCCAUAUCAACUCCAAACUAGACCUACCCAUUCUAUAUCCACUACCCCAACUAGUUAUUCCGUUUCCUACCGUUACAGGGCAAUGAAUUUUCAAACAUCAACUAUAUUCUUUGUAUGCAGAGUAGCGGUCAGUAGCUUAUUCUAUUACUUAAUGAAUAUUACUUAAUGAAGAGUUGCGGUUGGUUAGCAAUUGUAUUAUGAAAUGAAGGGGAGCUAGGUUAGAUAUAAGGAGGGCAAUUAAUACUUUCUAGUGGAAUUAUUACUGUUUAAAACACAUGGUAGGCUAGAAAGAGCACUGAGUUAGUUACAAAUUCGAUUUCUUAAGGCCCUAGAUAAUACCCUAAUUCGGAAUGAAGCCUUUUUUGUAGAAUUCCUUGUAUGAAGUAGUUGCUUUGAGUGGAAUUCCUUGUAUGAAGUAGUUGCUUCUUGAGUAUUGUAUGAAGUAGUUGCUUCUUGAGUCAUAAAGAGUAGUACUAAGAUCACAGUACUAAGAUCAGGAGCUGGUCACAUUAAUCUAUAUCCCGCGGCAAGAGUGGAAUAUGUAGUUGUGUUGUUGGAGAAGUAGUUAAAGAAUCAGUAGCUGUUGUUCGAGAAUCCGUAUUGGGAGUUGCAAGUAAAGAGUCUUGUUUUAUAGGCUUAAGUAAAAGGUGCUUUUCAACUGUUAACCUGGUAAGAACUUAGGUGAUGAUUGUGCUUGUGGCUAAGGCUUACGCUCCUAGUAGUAGAAUUGAGUCAAGAACUUAUUCAGCGCGGUGAAGUGAAGUGGAUAGAGUGGCGGUGCUCGUUUUUCUUAAGAAGCCGUUCUUUAGUUCUUCUCAAGCAGAUCAUUAGCAGUUCUCAAGUCGUCUGCAAGCAAUAUCUAAAGCAACGGAUCUGAGGCGAAAGUAAGAUAAGAAGCGAAUCCUGAUAUCAUGCAAGCGAAGCGGGUAAGGUAGUAUUGUAUAGAUUUAUUGGUCAGAAUAAGCUGGAUCUGUAUCAUCCGCCAAAGAAGGAGAAGAAUUGGAAUUAGACUCAACAAACCCUAACUCCACUUGAGCACUAAACUUUACCUCGAACAGCAUUAGCUCCAGCAGUUGAUCAUUCUGCCUUAAAUUAUUGAUACUCUGCACUUUGGCACGGAUUCUUCUCUCUCUCGAACCCGAUACUAUACUUUCAACAAAACUGUAUACUGGACCUCUAACUAUCACCAAGUCCUGUGUUUGGCGUUCGUCGUCAGUCAUCAGUGUUAGAGAACUGCAAGCAAUGACUCUCUCCCUCUCGCUUGAGUAAGGAAGCAAAGCAUUGAUGUUAGGUUAGCUUACGUGGCUUGGACUCUAUUAUUUGGGGGGAAAGCUGGUGGCUCCCUUUCUCGCUUCCAAGAGCCGACUUCUACUUUUUAUCACAUAAUGGGCACGCAAGCAGCAUCACAAAUUCCCAUAGAAGCCAAUCAGUCGGGCAGGGGAGGCGGCGGUGCAAAAGCUUCCCACGGCAAGCAGCUUCAAAAGCAGGCGGAGAGUGGAUUCUGGACUCUUGUCUAUAAGGGGACUAGCUUGCAGUCUUGUAUGAUGUAGGCUGUAUAUAAAUUGGAGUAAUGGCCUCGGGCGAGCCUAGAUCCCGAAGAGCCUCCAAAAUACAUCCAACUGUCUACAUCCUCACCCGUUCUUUUUCUCAUCCAACUGUCUACAUCCUCACCUGUUCUUUUUCUCAUCAAACGUCUGCUUGUUGAGUUUUGCAGUUCGGUUACUUGAUUCAAAGAAAAGAGCCACGCUAACACUUUCUGACUUAAGCCACGCUAACACACUUUCUUACUUAAGCCAAGCAAGUUCUUUCAUGAUCUGGUUGUGGGCUUUCGUAGAUACUUUCUGGAUUAUUCCUCUGCCUGCCUUUGAAGUAUCUAGUGCUGCUCCUGGCAUCGAUGAUCAAUACAGAGCUAGUGGGGCUCCUGACACCGAUGAUCCAUACAGAACGAAUUGGUCAAUUAUAUCAAUACCAUCAACAAAUAUUAACUCUGAGUCAUAACUCUCAUUCUUAUCUAAUAACUCUAAUUCUUAUCUAUAUGUAGGAAUGGGCAACUUUCGUUCUGUGCCGAACCUUAGUCGUCUCUUGGCUUAACUUCGUGAGUCUUAGAUUAGAGCAGAGGAUUCUUUGAAGGGCAUAAAGAAGGGUUAGAGGUAAGUGUGUGCUUAGGGUUCGAUAAGUAAACAAGCAAACAACUAGCCUAGCCCGAAAGAUAGGAUUUCUUAGAUUCCUACUCUCUUGUCUCAAACUUACAUUACUGCCUUUACUCUUCCACACUACUAAUUGAAAGCCUGCGACUACCAGCUCUAAGACGGAAAGUAUCAAUACAAAGAAAUCAACUCAAACUACCAAACUACCUACUAUAGGAAGAUAACUCAUAAGCCGGAGUCAAACUCUCGGACAAGCAAUGGAAUCUAUUAAUUAACCUAGCGCUUCUUAGACCUCCCCUACCAACUAGUAAUUGAACCACUGCGAACUGGAAUCUCUCUACCGGCAAACAGGCCAACUAUCCUUUGGUGAAAUCUGAUUCGCCUGCCCAUAAUAGUCCACCUGCCUCGCUUUGAGUCUGACUGCCCUAACUCCUACUCUUUACUACCAUGUCGAUCAGUCUACCUUGGCAUACUUUCAACCUGCUUCGUGAGUAAGGACAGCUUCUAGGUCAGCAGCUAGAGAAUCCAAAAAGCAUAAGUAGACUAAGAAAAGGGAACGGCAGGCUAACAUCAAAAGAGCAUAGGAUCCACAUCAGUUGUUAAGCAAUCAAAGCCAGGAGCGUAAGAGCUGAACCCUAGUUUGUGUGGGCAAUAUUGGAGAAUGCGAUAAAGCUACUACAGUCUUAAGAUAAAUAAGGGUAAGACUAGGUGUUGAUAGGCACAAAAAUAGGGAGGCUUUCAGCACCUUAGAUCGGUACCUCGAUUCUUGUAUGCCCUAUUGUGGAAUUACCCUAGAAGUGCCAGUACCCUAUUUGUCUUCGGGAACUACUAUUACUAGCCCUAAUCCAACCACCGGUACCGAGGUGACCUUAAAGCUGACUUUGCUUGUUUUGACUCUUCAGCCACUAACUGUAGGGAUCGAACACUGCCCAGCAACAAUAGAAUCACUAUCUUAUCUAACAAGCUAUAAACAGUGCUUCCCAUGCUUUCAGUCUAUAACAAGUACUUAUGAUCCUUUGACUUCCUAAGAGGCCCAGACAGAUUAUAUCCACUUUUGUAGCCGUAACCCGCUCUGAGAUCUGUUUGUUCUCCUUAUCUCUUACUCUUGUUCCCCACUAGCUGGUAUAGCAUAGUUUUCCCUUAUUGGUAAAGGAUAGUUCAAGCCCAACUCCCAUCCCAAGUCUGCUUACCUAUUUCCUGCCCUUAUAGCAGCCUUUCAAGGAGAUGUCUGUUGGGUAAUUAAUUGUACGCUGGACAAGGGAAUGCUUUAAUGACUUGAAUGACUUGGGUUGGAAUAUGUUAGGUACAUGUCCGCUUCUUCAACAAAGUACCCGACUGCUGAUGUGCUUUCCCGUCCAACAAGACCUUUAUUGCCUCUGAGGCCAAGGGAUGAUCUCUUCUUCUUUUCUCUUUAGACUAUUGGCACGAAACCGAGACGGACGCUCACAUUGUAACCAUCUUUGCCAUCCAACUUUGACUCGUCCUGAUUUAAGUAAACUGGGCAUCUCUAUUUAUGCAUGCUUCUCGAUGAACCGCCUAUAUUAUCAGUAAGCUUGCCGUUCCCUCUCUACCUGCUUUCUCUCGAGAGCAUGGAGCUUGCGUUCUGAGUUUCCAAAUCUCCCAUCUGAAACGCAAGGGUCCGAAGGAGCUCUUCCCGGCCUUCUGUCGAGUACCAAAUUGACUAUUCCUUCAAUCUGGGAUAUGCUACCUAAACUUUCUUAGGGCGAUCGAGUGCGGACUUUGCUCACCUUUGCGUCUGCUGCUUAGUCUUCUUUUGAGUUAGCAUCUGGUAACCUCGCAUAACCUUGUUAGCCUUCUUUCCCUUCGAACUUCACUAUCCGCUUAUUGGGAAUCCCUGAUCCAUGCAAAAGGUGAAAUCUCUGUAGUACCAAACUAUCCCUAUUCGGUGCUUCAAAAGCUGGUGACCUCCUAUCUGUCUUAGCCGAGCUAGCUUUGUGUUAUUCCCUUCGAUCCGCUUAGUCUCUUCUUUCCUCUACCGUUGGUCGAGCGUCUUCAAACCUAUACCAGUCCCGGACUCAUUGAGUCUUGUUUCAGAAUAGCUCCUCUUUACUUCCAUACUAGACUAGCAAGUACUAUAAGGGGGUUCCCUUUCCACCUUGAAACUGAACCAACAACUCGACACCCAUUAGAAACGAGUCCUUUGUUCGCCGAGCAGACAAGCAACGGGACAAGUAACAACUAGUGCUGCAUAUAGAGAAAUGAAACCUCACACUUGACUCACUCAAUUGAAAGAAAGGCUUUCCGCACCUUGUGCUAACGCGAAUGACUAUAAGUAGGCGGGGCGCAUUAGUUGACAUUUGUGUCUAUCUCUUCUACUUCCAUAAGCAUAAGUCAGAAAGUCACUGAACACCUUUUAUUCCGCGUGGGUUGUGUAUUGAAUACGUGUCUCUUGACUCUUAAGUGCUUGACUUAUUUCGUAGAUAGAAGCUCUUUUCUCAUGCUGAGGUUAAGGCUAGAGGCUCAUCUCCUCAUGCCCACUACAUAGAAAAGAAUCCUCUCUAUAAGGGCGGAGGCUCCGUCUUCAGUCAGCGGUCAAAAGAUAGAUGAGUUUACAGCGCGGUGUCAAUCAGUUUAGGGAGGUUCGCGGCGGUAACGGAAUCAGCGCAAGUCAGCAGCAGGGACGGGAGUAGUUGAAGAAGCCUCUGAGAAUUAUUCCAUUCAAGUUCACCUUGGCGCAACAAGACUAAGGGUGUUACAGUUAGGGUCAGUGAGGUAAAGAACGUUCAAGCCCCGAGUAGUGUCCUUCUCCUUCUGUCUGAAGCGAGGUGUAUACUUAAAGUGGAUAGAGUGAAAGGCUAAGCCCGAGCCGAGUGUCGGUGUUCUAGCUCCAAGUCAAGCUCGGGUUACAGUCUUGUAAGGCCAAUACAUCUUGUGCUUAAGGGCGAAAAUCUUUUACUGGUUUCCUAGGUGCAAGAGAAGACCUUGUUUGCGAGAUGAGCUACCCCUAUAUUCUCUAUGGGAUGUGGG
Molecule: long non-coding RNA, 8226 nt
Filed under: Musa acuminata (dwarf banana)
Lineage: Eukaryota; Viridiplantae; Streptophyta; Magnoliopsida; Zingiberales; Musaceae
Description: long non-coding RNA (MACU_LNC008130)
Source: RNAcentral